RNAcentral lists this ribosomal RNA (526 nucleotides) under uncultured bacterium. Its description in RNAcentral is "bacterial SSU rRNA". It matches the Rfam family "Bacterial small subunit ribosomal RNA", at positions 335 to 879 of the family's 1533-position model. The record is from RNAcentral.
ACUCCUACGGGAGGCAGCAGUGGGGAAUUUUGCACAAUGGGCGGAAGCCUGAUGCAGCGACGCCGCGUGGAGGAUGAAGGCCUUCGGGUUGUAAACUCCUUUUGUAGGGGACAAUGAUGAUGGUACCCUGCGAAUAAGCCACGGCUAACUCUGUGCCAGCAGCCGCGGUAAGACAGAGGUGGCGAGCGUUGUUCGGAAUCACUGGGCUUAAAGGGCGCGUAGGUGGUAGUGCAAGUCUGGGGUGGAAUCCUAUGGCUUAACCAUAGAAUUGCCUUGGAAACUGUAUUACUUGAGUCAGUGAGGGGAGGGUAGAAUUCCUGGUGUAGCGGUGAAAUGCGUAGAUAUCAGGAGGAAGGCCUGUGGCGAAGGCGGCCCUCUGGCGCUGAACUGACACUGAGGCGCGAAAGCGUGGGGAGCAAACAGGAUUAGAUACCCUGGUAGUCCACGCCCUAAACGGUGGGCACUAGGUGUAGGGCUCGUAAGGGUUCUGUGCCGAAGCGAAAGCAUUAAGUGCCCCGCCUGGGGA